Molecule: ribosomal RNA, 253 nt
Filed under: uncultured bacterium
Lineage: Bacteria
Description: partial 16S ribosomal RNA
Rfam family: Bacterial small subunit ribosomal RNA
Source: RNAcentral
UACGUAGGGGGCAAGCGUUGUCCGGAAUCAUUGGGCGUAAAGAGCGCGUAGGCGGCCCUGUAAGUCCGCUGUGAAAGUCAAGGGCUCAACCCUUGGAUGCCGGUGGAUACUGCAGGGCUAGAGUCCGGAAGAGGCGAGUGGAAUUCCUGGUGUAGCGGUGAAAUGCGCAGAUAUCAGGAGGAAUACCUAUGGCGAAAGCAGGUAUCUGGGCCACAACUGACGCUGAGCUGCGAAAGCUAGGGGAGCAAACAGG